Molecule: small nuclear RNA, 191 nt
Filed under: Carlito syrichta (Philippine tarsier)
Lineage: Eukaryota; Metazoa; Chordata; Mammalia; Primates; Tarsiidae
Description: U2 spliceosomal RNA (ENSTSYG00000031912.1)
Rfam family: U2 spliceosomal RNA
About the family: U2 is a small nuclear RNA (snRNA) component of the spliceosome (involved in pre-mRNA splicing).
Source: Rfam by way of RNAcentral
ACUGCUUCUCGGUCUUUUGGCUAAGAUCAGAUGUAGUAUCUGUUCUCCUCAGUUUAAUAUCUGAUACAUCCUCUAUUCAAGGACAAUAUGUUAAAUGGAUUUUUGGAGCAGGGAGUUGGAAAAGGAGCUUGCCCCAUCCACUCCAUGCAUUGAUCUGGUAUUGCAGUACCUCUAGGCCCAGUGCACCCCUU